UGCAGUCGAGCGCCCUCUUCGGAGGGAGCGGCGGACGGGUGAGUAACGCGUGGGAACGUGCCCUUUUCUCCGGAAUAGCCUCGGGAAACUGAGAUUAAUGCCGGAUACGCCCUUUUGGGGAAAGAUUUAUCGGAGAAGGAUCGGCCCGCGUUGGAUUAGAUAGUUGGUGGGGUAACGGCCUACCAAGUCUACGAUCCAUAGCUGGUUUGAGAGGAUGAUCAGCCACACUGGGACUGAGACACGGCCCAGACUCCUACGGGAGGCAGCAGUGGGGAAUCUUGGACAAUGGGGGCAACCCUGAUCCAGCCAUGCCGCGUGAACGAUGAAGGCCCUAGGGUUGUAAAGUUCUUUCAGCGGGGAAGAUAAUGACGGUACCCGCAGAAGAAGCCCCGGCUAACUCCGUGCCAGCAGCCGCGGUAAUACG
RNAcentral lists this ribosomal RNA (424 nucleotides) under uncultured bacterium. Its description in RNAcentral is "bacterial SSU rRNA". It matches the Rfam family "Bacterial small subunit ribosomal RNA", at positions 56 to 527 of the family's 1533-position model. The record is from RNAcentral.